CAGCAGCCGCGGUAAUACAAAGGAUGCAAGCGUUAUCCGAAAUGAUUGGGCGUAAAGCGUCUGUAGGUGGCUUUUCAAGUCCGCUGUCAAAUCCCCGGGCUCAACCCUGGACAGGCAGUGGAAACUACCAAGAUGGAGUACGGUAGGGGCAGAGGGAAUUUCCGGUGGAGCGGUGAAAUGCGUUGAGAUCGGAAAGAACACCAACGGCGAAAGCACUUUGCUGGGCCGACACUGACACUGAGAGACGAAAGCUAGGGGAGCAAAUGGGAUUAGAUACCCCCGUAGUCCCUGUCUCUUAUAU
Molecule: ribosomal RNA, 301 nt
Filed under: uncultured bacterium
Lineage: Bacteria
Description: partial 16S ribosomal RNA
Rfam family: Bacterial small subunit ribosomal RNA
Source: RNAcentral